CAAAACAAGAGAUGGGAACACGUGACUCGGCUGGGGGCGGGGGCGCGCACGUAGUCUGGCUGGGAGGCGGCGUGCUGCCAUGGCCUGUGUGUGACUGACGGGCGGUACGUGUUGAAUGGAACGUUCCAGGUUUAUUGGAUGCCACCUUGGAAUACACAUGGAAUAUUCUGUAUCCAUACAAGCCAUUAGAAAGAACCUAGAAAUAUAUAUCGGAUGAAACCAAGAGCACCAUGACUUCAACCAUAAAAAUAAUGACCAAGACUCAUGAAGACAAUCUCUAAUGUGUCUGCAAUUCAUUUUGGAAUUGCAGACCCUAAAUGGCGUUAGCCUCAUCAUCAAAAUACUGUUAAGUACAAUGCUCUCCCUUAAAUACAUGUAUGUGCCACCUUUUGCAGCUACAAGGAAUUUAAGAGCUAGGUGGCUUUGAAGAGAAAUCUUAUGGACGUGGGCCAUUUCUGAAAUUCCUUCAUUACCAUAUGGUCUAUGUAUAUGAGUGUAUAGAUGGGUCAGUAUAGGUUGUGUGUGCUGGGUUUACUUGGAAGGGUUGAACCUGAUGGACUUUGGUCUUUUUUAACCUUGUGUAAUUGUGUAACCAAAGUGACCCGCUCUUCAACUCUGUGUCAUGAAACCUUAGCCAUAUUUGUGUCCUGCUUCAUUAUUGAACUUUGUCUAUUUUGGAUAAUA
Xenopus tropicalis (tropical clawed frog) is the source of this 684-nucleotide long non-coding RNA. RefSeq lists it as uncharacterized. NCBI's taxonomy places the organism in Eukaryota, Metazoa, Chordata, Amphibia, Anura, Pipidae. The record is from RefSeq and is a predicted model, not a curated record. The transcript is spliced from 2 exons.